CCUACGGGAGGCAGCAGUGAGGGAUAUUGGUCAAUGGACGGAAGUCUGAACCAGCCAUGCCGCGUGCAGGAAGACGGCUCUAUGAGUUGUAAACUGCUUUUGUACAAGGGUAAACCUGCAUACGUGUAGUCGGAUGCAAGGACUGUAUGAAUAAGGAUCGGCUAACUCCGUGCCAGCAGCCGCGGUAAUACGGAGGAUCCAGGCGUUAUACGGAUUUAUUGGGUUUAAAGGGUGCGUAGGCCGAUUGUCAAGUUUGAGGUGAAAUGUCCGAGCUUAACUCGGGAACUGCAUCGAAUACGGUUGCUCUAGAGAGUAGAAGCGGCAGGCGGAAUGUAUGGUGUAGCGGUGAAAUGCUUAGAGAUCAUACAGAACACCGAUUGCGAAGGCAGCUUACCAAGCUAUAUCUGACGUUGAGGCACGAAAGCGUGGGGAGCAAACAGGAUUAGAUACCCUGGUAGUC
RNAcentral lists this ribosomal RNA (460 nucleotides) under uncultured bacterium. Its description in RNAcentral is "partial 16S ribosomal RNA". It matches the Rfam family "Bacterial small subunit ribosomal RNA", at positions 338 to 795 of the family's 1533-position model. The record is from RNAcentral.